RNAcentral lists this ribosomal RNA (543 nucleotides) under Methylobacterium radiotolerans. RNAcentral's name for it is "bacterial SSU rRNA". It matches the Rfam family "Bacterial small subunit ribosomal RNA", at positions 92 to 670 of the family's 1533-position model. The record is from RNAcentral. Lineage: Bacteria; Pseudomonadati; Pseudomonadota; Alphaproteobacteria; Hyphomicrobiales; Methylobacteriaceae.
UCAGCGGCGGACGGGUGAGUAACGCGUGGGAACGUGCCUUCUGGUCUGGAAUAACCCUGGGAAACUAGGGCUAAUACCGGAUACGCCCUUUUGGGGAAAGGUUUACUGCCGGAAGAUCGGCCCGCGUCUGAUUAGCUAGUUGGUGGGGUAACGGCCUACCAAGGCGACGAUCAGUAGCUGGUCUGAGAGGAUGAUCAGCCACACUGGGACUGAGACACGGCCCAGACUCCUACGGGAGGCAGCAGUGGGGAAUAUUGGACAAUGGGCGCAAGCCUGAUCCAGCCAUGCCGCGUGAGUGAUGAAGGCCUUAGGGUUGUAAAGCUCUUUUAUCCGGGACGAUAAUGACGGUACCGGAGGAAUAAGCCCCGGCUAACUUCGUGCCAGCAGCCGCGGUAAUACGAAGGGGGCUAGCGUUGCUCGGAAUCACUGGGCGUAAAGGGCGCGUANGCGGCGUUUUAAGUCGGGGGUGAAAGCCUGUGGCUCAACCACAGAAUGGCCUUCGAUACUGGGACGCUUGAGUAUGGUAGAGGUUGGUGGAACUGC